RNAcentral lists this ribosomal RNA (714 nucleotides) under Triticum aestivum (bread wheat). RNAcentral describes it as "partial small subunit ribosomal RNA". Lineage: Eukaryota; Viridiplantae; Streptophyta; Magnoliopsida; Poales; Poaceae. The record is from RNAcentral.
AUGGAUAAGUUUGUUGCAAAAGAACCACACGUAUCCUCUAAUAAUCAAUCACAGGAUCAAGGCCUCACGGUUGAUAAUAAUGUUGACCCUGAUGUUGACAAUGAUCAUAGAGAUGAACAAGCAGAGAAAGAAAAUAAUGAUGAGGUUGAUGAUGAUCUUAUUGGUAAAACAGACAUUGAUAUGGAUAAUAAUGGUGAUGACAUCGGGACAACUAGUAUUGAUGUUAACUCAAAUACUUCACCUGUUGCGGAUGUCAGUGGUUCUUUUCAUGUUAAUAUAUUUGAUCCAAGAAAUUGGGGUUCUCUUGAUCCUAAGCAGAUUGACAUUUUAGCACAAAAGGCCCUAAAAGAGACUCACAAUUUCAAAAAGGUCUUAAGAACAGAUAUUCUAGCAGGGCAUAGAAAAGGUCAAUUGGCAAACGAGGGGUGUGAUGAUUGGAUACAUCUUGGCAGUACACUUAAAGAGCAUGAGACAAGUGUAGAUCAUGUUUUGAAUAUGACCACUUGGUAUGAGCUCUGUACUACUAGAUUGCAAAAGCAUCAAACUAUUGAUAAAGAUGCUCAAGGACAACUUGAGAAUAAAAAGGAGCACUGGAGAAAAAAUUUGUUCAGAAUUGUUUGCAUUAUUAAAUUUCUUGCCAAGCAUAAUCUAGCCUUUCAUGGUAGUAACAGCAAACUGUAUGAAGACAGCAAUGGGAAUUUCUUGGGUCUGUAG